CUCGAACUCGGUUGACUCGAAAUUUCGGAUGAGUCGAAGUUUUCACGUGGUCCCGAACUUUAUUCCAUACAAAAGUAUGUAAUUCGACUCCUGAUGAUUCGAAAUUGGAUUAGUCGAAAUUUCGGUUGAGUCGAACUAAAUUUACGGUCCCAAGGUUAACAAAAGCAUUCAAAAUUAAUUUUUUAUCUCGAACUAAUACACAUAUGUCAAAACAUGACCUCCGGGAUUUAAUGGAUUGAAUAGUUAAUCUG
This 251-nucleotide long non-coding RNA is filed under the name Mytilus galloprovincialis (Mediterranean mussel). The record is from RNAcentral. Lineage: Eukaryota; Metazoa; Mollusca; Bivalvia; Mytilida; Mytilidae.